Molecule: non-coding RNA, 1475 nt
Organism: Schizosaccharomyces pombe (fission yeast)
Lineage: Eukaryota; Fungi; Ascomycota; Schizosaccharomycetes; Schizosaccharomycetales; Schizosaccharomycetaceae
Source: the annotation of a GenBank genome assembly
CGUGAAAAAUAUCGGAAUGGAAUGCAAAUAUAAUUGUUUAAAUUCUAGAAAAAAUCACACAAACAAACUGUACUACCAGCAUUCUUUGGCCAGCUUAUAUUUCAAGUAUUGGGAAGAGAUAAAAAUGAGAAAUUAAAACACCCAAAAUAACACGAGUGAAGUGAUUUAUUUUUGCACGUAAAAUCCUUUCAUGUCUGCUGCCACGGUUUUUAGUAUUUGUGGUGCUGGAAACACCACAAAUAUCCUGUAAUAGACUAUUUUUAAGACGUAAAAAGAUUUAUCACGUUUGUAUCAAUACAAGGCAAAGUCGGUACAAAAAAGCCAAUUUUUACUGAACUUAAAUUACAUUAUAAGCAUACGAUGAAUACAUUUAACAUUACUACGCACUUCACUCAUUGAAAGAAAUGAACCUCCUUCGAGAAUAAAUCGAUUAAUGCAAUACCUAAGCAGUAGCAGCGGAAGUAGGCUUGCCAGCACCUAAAUAAAAUGUUAAUAAAUAAACGAAAAAUACAACAGGAUCUCCACCGAUCGUGCAAUUACUUACGGAAUCCGUUCUUAAAGCUGCGAUGAACCUUCUUCAAAUAGCUCAUACGGCCAGUGCCAGUAGUUCUUCUUCUCUUGGCCUUAGCACCCCAGUUGUAACUACGAGUCUUGGCAGCGGGAUAACCACAGCAUGCGCAGGUGCUCUUUUGAAUGUGGAAAGAACGCUUUCCACAACGACGGCAAAUGGUAUGAGACUUGUUAUGUCUCAUACCGAAUGAUUGAGUACCCUUAGUCAUUUUUGAAACUGCUUCUCGAAACUAUUAGGGCCGAUGGCAGAAGGUUACUGAUAGAUUUUAAUGUGUACGAUGAAUUAGCAAAACCUCGAGAAAGACAGUCACGACUACCAAACAAAGUAGCGUAUAAGUUGUGCACACUACACUACUUUAUUGAUAAAAUGCGCGAUAAGAUUACAAUGUGUUUCAGUAUUAGCACAAUAAGGUAUUUAAAACAAACCUCACUACUCUCAUAGCUCGUCUAUUGUUACUGUACUUCAAUCAUCUUUUGUUUACAUAUUUAGUGAACAAAUAUCUAGGGCGUUAUUAUUUGAUGCAUGAUGGUGAUGCUUUAGUACUUUGAACUUUUAUAUUUUACAAAAAAUUUUGACAGUAUCUAUACGAUGCUAAGAAUAAUAAUUAACUUAAGUACUUAAAGUGUCGGUUUAUAUCGGAGGUCUGUUUGUCGUAGUACUGACAGCACAUUCGAUGAUCAUUUACUUUAAGAUGUAGUUUUUCAAAACAAUAUUAUUUUUAGUUUUAACUGGCACUCCCAUGUUCUAAAAUAUGUUCCAACAAAGGAAAAUUUAAUAAAUUUUUUUUUUAAUAAAAAAAAAAAUACUUUUCAAUUGCUAUUUUGAUCUCUAAAACUUUUAGUGUUUCAAAAAUAAAGAAUUAUUGAAAUUAGGUACUCCAGCUCUGUUCAAAUAUGUCCAAGCA